This 301-nucleotide ribosomal RNA is filed under the name uncultured bacterium. RNAcentral's name for it is "partial 16S ribosomal RNA". It matches the Rfam family "Bacterial small subunit ribosomal RNA", at positions 509 to 808 of the family's 1533-position model. The record is from RNAcentral.
CAGCAGCCGCGGGAAAACGUAUGUCCCGAGCGUUGUCCGGAUUUAUUGGGCGUAAAGCGAGCGCAGGCGGUUAGAUAAGACUGAAGUGAAAGGCAGUGGCUCAACCAUUGUAGGCUUUGGAAACUGUUUAACUUGAGUGCAGAAGGGGAGAGUGGAAUUCCAUGUGUAGCGGUGAAAUGCGUAGAUAUAUGGAGGAACACCGGUGGCGAAAGCGGCUCUCUGGUCUGUAACUGACGCUGAGGCUCGAAAGCGUGGGGAGCGAACAGGAUUAGAUACCCGCGUAGUCCCUGUCUCUUAUACA